UUCCUAUUUUUUUCGUACCCUCUCUUUUUCAAAUUGCUUCUGGUCAUCCUAUUCUUUUAGAUUUGAUAAGUGUAUAGGAAGGGACCUUUUUCUAUUAUCAGAUAUCAGACACAAGUUUUGUGAUAGAUAUGAUAUACGGACUAAUCAGCAUAUGAAUACCCAGUUGAAUGAUUUACAAUCCAUAUCAGUACUCAUACUGAUACUAAGAAAGUAUUCUUUUUCAAGAUUUGAAGAUCAAAGAGAUUCCCUGUUCUUUGUAAUACAAUACUUAAUUAAUACUUAAUACUUUAGAAUGCUUAAGACUUUGACCCUGUCUUUUUUUUUUUUUUUUUAAAUUGACAUAAACCCAACCCCUCUCGNAAAAUGAAUAUGAUGCAUCSCGAAGGAUCAGGA
This 393-nucleotide unclassified non-coding RNA is filed under the name Hudsonia tomentosa (woolly beachheather). Its description in RNAcentral is "trnL-trnF intergenic spacer". The record is from RNAcentral. Lineage: Eukaryota; Viridiplantae; Streptophyta; Magnoliopsida; Malvales; Cistaceae.